AGGAAAAGAAACUAACUAGGAUUCCCUUAGUAACGGCGAGUGAACCGGGAUGAGCUCAAAUUUGAAAUCUGGCGUCUUUCAGGCGUCCGAGUUGUAAUCUAUAGAGGCGUUUUCCGCGCCGGACCGCGUCCAAGUCUCUUGGAAUAGAGUAUCAAAGAGGGUGACAAUCCCGUACUUGACGCGACAACCGGUGCUCUGUGAUACGUUCUCAAUGAGUCGAGUUGUUUGGGAAUGCAGCUCUAAAUGGGUGGUAAAUUCCAUCUAAGGCUAAAUAUUGGCGAGAGACCGAUAGCGAACAAGUACCGUGAGGGAAAGAUGAAAAGCACUUUGGAAAGAGAGUUAAACAGCACGUGAAAUUGUUAAAAGGGAAACGAUUGAAGUCAGUCGUGUGGGAAGUAUUCAGCCGUCUUUGGGGGUGUAUUUGCUUCUCACGGGUCAACAUCAGUUUGAUCCGGUAGAAAAAGGCGGGAAGAAGGUGGCACCUCGGGUGUGUUAUAGCUUCCUGUCAUAUGUGCCGGACCAGACUGAGGAACGCAGGCUUGCAGCAAUGCCGGGGUUCGCCCACGUACAA
This 571-nucleotide ribosomal RNA is filed under the name Vishniacozyma carnescens. Its description in RNAcentral is "eukaryotic LSU rRNA". It matches the Rfam family "Eukaryotic large subunit ribosomal RNA", at positions 54 to 612 of the family's 3401-position model. Lineage: Eukaryota; Fungi; Basidiomycota; Tremellomycetes; Tremellales; Bulleribasidiaceae. The record is from RNAcentral.